UUGCUCUAGCAGCAUACAUACUACAGUAGGAACAACAGAGAGAAAGCUAGUGUGGUCUCUGAGCAAGCAUGACAUUCAAAUUUAUUACGUUCCACAUUUUU
RNAcentral lists this small nuclear RNA (101 nucleotides) under Peromyscus maniculatus bairdii (prairie deer mouse). The record is from RNAcentral. Lineage: Eukaryota; Metazoa; Chordata; Mammalia; Rodentia; Cricetidae.